AAGGAAAACUUGGGAAUGAAACCGUUGCGAUUAAGAAGCUUAGAUCUCAGAAUAAAAAGGAGGAAGAGCAAUUUGCAAGAGAUCAAUUUAAGAAGGAGGCUGAAAUCCUUAGCGGUAUCGAUCCUCACAAAAAUAUUGUCAAGGUGCUAGGAUACUGCAGUCAUAAAGCCAAUAGAUUGCUUGUUUAUGAGUUUCUUCCCAACAACUCAUUGCUUUCUCAUUUGCAUGGGGAAAUGAAAAGCCGACACUUAAUUGGUCAAACAGAUGGAAUAUUGCUUUAGGCAUUGCAGAAGGAUUAGCACAUUUACAUGACCAAUGUAAGCNNNNNNNNNNNNNGAUAUUAAGAGUGCUAAUAUUCUUCUUGAUGAUAAAUUUGUACCAAAGAUUGCAGAUUUUGGAAUUGCCAAAGAAUUUUUGAUUUCUGAUUCUCACACUUAUUCUGAGCCAAGGGCAUCUUAUUUUUAUGAACCUCCUGAGUAUUACAAAGUUGGUCCAGAAAGAAGGAAGCUAACUGCCAAGUCUGAUGUCUUUUCCUUUGGUGUUG
Molecule: unclassified non-coding RNA, 544 nt
Filed under: Hevea brasiliensis (rubber tree)
Lineage: Eukaryota; Viridiplantae; Streptophyta; Magnoliopsida; Malpighiales; Euphorbiaceae
Source: RNAcentral